GCAGGUUGAAGGUUGGGUAACACUAACUGGAGGACCGAACCGACUAAUGUUGAAAAAUUAGCGGAUGACUUGUGGCUGGGGGUGAAAGGCCAAUCAAACCGGGAGAUAGCUGGUUCUCCCCGAAAGCUAUUUAGGUAGCGCCUCGUGAACUCAUCUUCGGGGGUAGAGCACUGUUUCGGCUAGGGGGUCAUCCCGACUUACCAACCCGAUGCAAACUACGAAUACCGAAGAAUGUUAUCACGGGAGACACACGGCGGGUGCUAACGUCCGUCGUGAAGAGGGAAACAACCCAGACCGCC
RNAcentral lists this ribosomal RNA (299 nucleotides) under Klebsiella pneumoniae. Its description in RNAcentral is "partial 23S ribosomal RNA". It matches the Rfam family "Bacterial large subunit ribosomal RNA", at positions 740 to 1036 of the family's 2925-position model. Lineage: Bacteria; Pseudomonadati; Pseudomonadota; Gammaproteobacteria; Enterobacterales; Enterobacteriaceae. The record is from RNAcentral.